Pelobates cultripes (western spadefoot toad) is the source of this 463-nucleotide non-coding RNA. NCBI's taxonomy places the organism in Eukaryota, Metazoa, Chordata, Amphibia, Anura, Pelobatidae. The record is from the annotation of a GenBank genome assembly.
CAGAAAUUCACCGACAGGCAUUCACUCACUGACACACACUCACACAGACACUCACUGACAUACACUCACUGACAGACAUACACUUCCUCAGUGACAUACAGACACACACACUCACUGACAGACAUAUACUCACUCACAGAGAGACAGACAGACACACAGACACUCACUGACAGACACAGACACUCACUGACAGACACACAGACACUCACUUAGAGACACACAGACAGACAGACACUCACUGAUACACACACACAGGCAUACACUCAGUGACACACUCACUGACAAACACUCAAACACUCACCUCCAUGGGAUCCAGUGUGGGGCAGCUCCUCACUCCUCCCGCCUGCCGUUUAGUAUGCCUGGACCCAAUUGACGUCAUAUUCCGGCUCCCGGCAUCAAAGAGGGUGCGUAAGGGAGGAGUGAGAGGCUGCAAGAACAGCCUCCAUCGCUGCCUUCUCCUUCC